Molecule: ribosomal RNA, 508 nt
Filed under: uncultured Glomeraceae
Lineage: Eukaryota; Fungi; Glomeromycota; Glomeromycetes; Glomerales; Glomeraceae
Description: SSU rRNA
Rfam family: Eukaryotic small subunit ribosomal RNA
Source: RNAcentral
CGCAGCCGCGGUAAUUCCAGCUCCAGUAGCGUAUAUUAAAGUUGUUGCAGUUAAAAAGCUCGUAGUUGAAUUUCGGGAUCAAUAUUUCGGUCAUGCCGUUGGUAUGCACUGUUAUCAUUGAUUUCUCACCUUCUAAAGAACCGUAAUGCCAUUAAUUUGGUGUUACGGGGAAUUAGGACUGUUACCUUGAAAAAUUAGAGUGUUUAAAGCAGGCUCACGCUUGAAUACAUUAGCAUGGAAUAAUGAAAUAGGACAUCCGAUUCUAUUUUGUUGGUUUCUAGGAUCGAUGUAAUGAUUAAUAGGGAUAGUUGGGGGCAUUAGUAUUCAAUUGUCAGAGGUGAAAUUCUUGGAUUUAUUGAAGACUAACUACUGCGAAAGCAUUUGCCAAGGAUGUUUUCAUUAAUCAAGAACGAAAGUUAGGGGAUCGAAGACGAUCAGAUACCGUCGUAGUCUUAACCAUAAACUAUGCCGACUAGGGAUCGGAUGAUGUUAAUUUUUAAUGUACUCA